RNAcentral lists this ribosomal RNA (323 nucleotides) under uncultured bacterium. RNAcentral's name for it is "bacterial SSU rRNA". It matches the Rfam family "Bacterial small subunit ribosomal RNA", at positions 28 to 334 of the family's 1533-position model. The record is from RNAcentral.
GAUGAACGCUGGCGGCGUGCCUAACACAUGCAAGUCGAACGGACAUUUUUUGGAAAGUUCUUCGGAACCGGAAUCUAAAUGUUAGUGGCGGACGGGUGAGUAACGCGUGAGCAAUCUGCCUUUCAGAGGGGGAUAACAGCCGGAAACGGCUGCUAAUACCGCAUAAUGUCAUUCGGAGGCAUCUCUGAGUGACCAAAGAUUUAUUGCUGAAAGAUGACCUCGCGUCUGAUUAGCUAGUUGGUGAGGUAAUAGCUCACCAAGGCGACGAUCAGUAGCCGGACUGAGAGGUUGAACGGCCACAUUGGGACUGAGAUACGGCCCAG